GCCGAGCUCAGUAGCGUGGGCUUGUAACUCAAGUGAGGGCAUCAGUGUGGUGGAAUGUUGAACAUGCCCAGAAGGUAGGGCUUGUGUGACAAUUCUCUGGCAUGC
This 105-nucleotide non-coding RNA is filed under the name Solanum lycopersicum (tomato). Lineage: Eukaryota; Viridiplantae; Streptophyta; Magnoliopsida; Solanales; Solanaceae. The record is from RNAcentral.